CUUGCUUGCCCUGGGAACAGGGCUUGUGAUUCUGGAUGUUCAUGUUUUCGCCGUUUCCAGUCCUACUGUUUCUUACCAGUGAUGUUUUGGUCCAACUCCGCCGUGAAGCUUCAGUGUUUGCCGAAGUACAGUGGUAUGACAGUGAAUUCAUGAAAAUGAAGGCAACAUAUUAGUCACGAUGGAGUCAUGUUUACAAAGAAAGAGGAAAUCUGAAAACCAUGGCUGCAUCCGAAACCAGAAAAAUGCUGCCUCGGGAGGCUGUAUACCAGAGAUUAUUAAGCAGAGAUGGACACUUCUAUUAAAAUUAAUGGGAGAAAUUGGAACACUCAACCAAGGAGCUCUGAGCGCCCAAUGGUCAACGGAUGUAGAAAGGAAGUCCCACCUUAUAGAUAGCUGCACUGGCAUGAAGGGAAAUAGCCUCCAGAGAGCGUUUCAAAGAUGGCCGACAGUGGACUGACUUGCUAGAAAGACUUUGCUGUAUACGGAGGUAGCAAGUGACCAAGGCACGUCUGAAUCCAAUGUUCGUGUCACAUCCUGCUGCUGAAGCUAUGUUUCCAUCCAAGUUGCAAAUUUAAUUUAUGAAAAAAAACAUAUUGUUGCAAAAACAAUGUGCGAAUAAAGCCGCGUUUCCAUCCAAGGGCGUUCAAAAGGAUGAAAUAGUCGCUUCUGGAGAAACUGUAGCCACUGUGAGUGUUUUAUUAAUAAAAUACUGGCGGUUUAGAGCAUGCAGACAAAACACUGUCAGGAACUUUGUCUCAUGUUUUUGAGCGACAGUGCGUCACAUACUUCUGGGAGUGCUAUAUAAACUCAGCAAAAAAAGAAACGUCCUCAAUUUCAACUGCUUUUAUUUUCAGCAAACUUAACAUGUGUAAAUAUUUGUAUGAACAUAAAAAGAUUCAACAACUAAGACAUAAACUGAACAAGUUUCACAGACAUGUGAAUAAUGUGUCCCUGAACAAAAGGGGGGGUCAAAAUCAAAAGUAACAGUCAGUAUCCCUGUAACGCACAGCGUUGAGAUUGCCUGCAAUGACAACAAGCUCAAUCCGAUGAUACUGUGACACACCGCCCCAGACCAUGACGGACCCUCCACCUCCAAAUCGAUCCCGCUCCAGAGUACAGGCCUCGGUGUAACACUCAUUCCUUCGACGAUAAACACGAGACAAAACUGAAACUCGUCAUUGAAGAGCACUUUUUGCCAGUCCUGUCUGGUCCAGCGAAGGUGGGUUUGUGCCCAUAGGCGAUGUUGUUGCCGGUGAUGUCUGGUAAGGACCUUCCUUACAACAGGCCUACAAACCCUCAGUCCAGCCUCUCUCAGUGGACAGUCUGAGCACUGAUGGAGGGAUUGUGCAUUCCUGGUGCAACUCGGGCAGUUGUUGUUGCCAUCCUGUACCUGUCCCGCAGGUGUGUUAUUCGGAUGUACCGAUCCUGUGCAGGUGCUGUUACACAUGGUCUGCCACUUCAAGGACGAUCAGCUGUCCUUCCUGUCUCCCUGUAGCGCUGUCUUAGGCAUCUCACAGUACGGACAUUGCAAUUUAUUGCCCUGGCCACAUCUGCAGUCCUUAUGCCUCCAUGCAGUAUGCCUAAGGAUGAGCAGGGACCCUUGGCAUCUUUCUUUUGGUGUUUUUCAGAGUCAGUAGAAAGGUCUCUUUAGUGUCCUAUGUUUUUAUAACUGUGACCUUAGUUGCCUACCAUCUGUAAGCUGUUAGUGUCUUAAUGACCUUUCCACUGGUGAUGGAAAAUUAAUUGUUAUGAUGUAAUGAUGUUCAUUAAUUGUCUAUGGUUCAUUGAACAAGCAUGGAAAACAUUGUUUAAACCCUUUACAAUAAAGAUCUGUGAAGUUAUUUAGAUUUUUACAAAAUUAUCUUUAAAAUACAGUGUCCUGAAAAAGGGACGUUUCUUUUUUUGCUGAGUUUAUAUGAGUUCAUCCAUUCU
This is a long non-coding RNA of Myxocyprinus asiaticus (Chinese sucker), 1932 nucleotides long. RefSeq lists it as uncharacterized. The record is from RefSeq and is a predicted model, not a curated record. Lineage: Eukaryota; Metazoa; Chordata; Actinopteri; Cypriniformes; Catostomidae. The transcript has 3 exons.